This 446-nucleotide ribosomal RNA is filed under the name uncultured bacterium. RNAcentral's name for it is "SSU rRNA". It matches the Rfam family "Bacterial small subunit ribosomal RNA", at positions 26 to 518 of the family's 1533-position model. The record is from RNAcentral.
AGAACGAACGCUGGCGGCAGGCCUCAAACAUGCAAGUCUAGGGGGCGUAGCAAUACGUCACCGGCGGACGGGUGCGUAACACGUGGGAAUGUACUUACUGGUUCGGAACAACUCAGGGAAACUUGAGCUAAUACCGAAUGUGCCCGAAAGGGGAAAGAUUUAUCGCCAGUAAAUCAGCCCGCGUCCGAUUAGCUAGUUGGUGGGGUAAAGGCCCACCAAGGCGACGAUCGGUAGCUGUUCUGAGAGGAAGAUCAGCCACACUGGGACUGAGACACGGCCCAGACUCCUACGGGAGGCAGCAGUUGGGAAUCUUGGACAAUGGGGAAACCCUGAUCCAGCCAUGCCGCGUGAGUGAUGAAGGCCUUCGGGUUGUAAAACUCUUUCGACGGGGACGAUAAUGACGGUACCCGUAGAAGAGCUCCGGCUAACUUCGCGCCAGCAGCCGC